Molecule: long non-coding RNA, 216 nt
Filed under: Panax ginseng (ginseng)
Lineage: Eukaryota; Viridiplantae; Streptophyta; Magnoliopsida; Apiales; Araliaceae
Description: long non-coding RNA (PGIN_LNC008160)
Source: RNAcentral
AGAACUCGUCACCGCAAUUCAACUGCUUUUUAUGUUCAUGGUUGAUUUUUAAUUUUUUAAAGAUGAAGACUCAAUCAUAAGAAUUCUGCCCUUGUAAAUCUUGUUUCUGAUGAAUGUAGUGGAGACAAGCUAAGUUCCGCGACGUUAAAGUUACUUGAUGCUAAGAAGUAACAAACAAGAAUAGUAGAGGUAGUUCCCACCUAGCACAAUCUAGAC